UCCCCGUUAACCGGGGCAGUCCCCCUAGAGUUCCCGGCUUGACCCGUUGGCAACUAGGGGCGAGGGUUGCGCUCGUUGCGGGACUUAACCCAACAUCUCACGACACGAGCUGUCGACAGCCAUGCAGCACCUGUGUCGGCUCCCCUUGCGGGGUCGGGCCCCUUUCGGUUUCCUACCACCGACAUGUCAAACCCAGGUAAGGUUUUUCGCGUUGCAUCGAAUUAAUCCACAUAAUCCACCGCUUGUGCGGGUCCCCGUCAAUUCCUUUGAGUUUUAACCUUGCGGCCGUACUCCCCAGGCGGAAUGCUUACUCCGUUAGGUGCGCCACCGAAGGGCAAGCCCCCCGACGGCUGGCAUUCAUCGUUUACGGCGUGGACUAC
RNAcentral lists this unclassified non-coding RNA (380 nucleotides) under uncultured bacterium. Its description in RNAcentral is "contains 16S-23S intergenic spacer region". The record is from RNAcentral.